Molecule: ribosomal RNA, 460 nt
Filed under: uncultured bacterium
Lineage: Bacteria
Description: partial 16S ribosomal RNA
Rfam family: Bacterial small subunit ribosomal RNA
Source: RNAcentral
CCUACGGGAGGCAGCAGUGAGGAAUAUUGGUCAAUGGCCGAGAGUCUGAACCAGCCAAGUCGCGUGAAGGAUGACUGCCCUAUGGGUUGUAAACCUCUUUUAUCAGGGAAUAAAACGAGUCACGUGUGCCUUUUUGCAUGUACUUUAUGAAUAAGCAUCGGCUAACUCCGUGCCAGCAGCCGCGGUAAUACGGAGGAUACGAGCGUUAUCCGGAUUUAUUGGGUUUAAAGGGAGCGUAGACGGGUUGUGAAGGCAGUUGUGAAAGUGUGCGGCUCAACCGUAGAAUUGCCGUUGAUACUGGCAGUCUUGAGUACAGGUGAGGUAAGCGGAAUUCGUGGUGUAGCGGUGAAAUGCUUAGAUAUCACGCAGAACUCCGAUUGCGAAGGCAGCUUACUAGCGUGUAACUGACAUUGAUGCUCGAAAGUGUGGGUAUCGAACAGGAUUAGAUACCCGAGUAGUC